CUCUUAUAAAAUCAUACAGGAAACAUUAUCAAACAUAAAAUGAUGUUUGACUUUCUUUAUUCUAAAAACUAAUAAAAAUAGGUGCUAAAAAUUUUCCAAAUGAAAAUAAAUAUUGCUAAACCAAAGAGAAAUGUUAUCUAAGCCCCGUAUAAAAAAUAAAUAAAUCUUGUUCCAAUUGCAUCAAAAAACCCAUUAAGGGCCCUCCAGCACAGGGUUAAUACCAACGAGUUUCCACCUCCAGCUGCUCCUAGAGUGGCCACAGCAUGAGCCAUCUGGUGGGGGACCUAGCCGCCAACAGACACUUCCUGUACAGGGGAGGGGGGAGGGGGCCAGGCAGCCGUUAGACAGCACAACCGAACCCAACACCGGGGCCCAACGGCAGGGGCUUGGGCAGGAGCAAGGUCCGAGGGCUGCCAGGUCCACGCUGCUUUUAUGAGCUGUAACACUCACCGCGAAGAUCUGCAGCUUCACUCCUGAGCCCAGCGAGACCACGAGCCCACCGGGAGGAACAAACAACUCCAGACGCGCUGCCUUAAGAGCUGUAACACUUGCCGUGAAGGUCUGCAGCUUCACUCCUGAGCCAGCGAGACCACGAACCCACCAGAAGGAAGAAACUCCGAACACAUCUCAACAUCAGAACGGACAGACUCCAGACGCACCACCUUAAGAGCUGUAACACUCACCGCGAGGUUCCGCGGCUUCAUUCUUGAAGUCAGUAAGACCAAGAACCCACCAAUUCCGGACACAGUAGCAUUUGGGAAUAAUAAGAAUUGUAGCUGGGCAUGGUGGUACACGCCUGUAGACCCCUAGCAGCUGCCAUCAUCCUCACCAUCCGCAUAUUAUUGAUAUAUUAACUCUUUGAUGGCAACCAUAGCUUAUCCCCCUUAUCUCCCUAUGCCCUACAGCAGGGCAGUGGAAUGGUUAAGAGGCUUUGAAGUCUAAGAGUGCUGGCUUAAAACCCUAAUUUGUCAUUUUGGAUGUGUGGCUUUGGACACUUGGGGCAGGUCACCUAUGUUCUUCAAGCCCUGUAUCCUUAUCUGUCAGAUGAUGAUUUUUUUUUUUUUAGACGAAGUCUCACUCUCUUGCCCGGGCUGGAGUGCAGUGGCAUGAUCUCGGCUUACUGCAAGCUCCACCUCCCGGGUUGACGCCAUUCUCCUGCCUCAGCUUCCUGAGUAGCUGGGACUACAGGCUCCUGCCACCACCCGUGGCUAAUUUUUUUGUAUUUUUAGUAGAGACAGGGUUUCACCAUGUUAGCCAGGAUGGUCUCGAUCUCCUGACCUCGUGAUCUGCCCGCCCCAGCCUCCCAAAGUAUCAGAUGAUUUUAACAACUAUGCUUCCAUGACUUGCUGGGCUAGAUGAUAUGACUGUAAAAUGCCUAACCCAUGGUUUAGCAUCAAGUAAGCAAAUUGUAAAUGGUAGCACUGCUCUGCCUAUGACUAUUUAGUCUUGUGCUUUAAACUCAAAUAUUUGUUGGCCUACUGAAGUCACCACACAGAGAAAGAUGCUUUUCAUUCUCAGUAAAGAACUUUGGGAGAUAACUGGGGCAGGCAGCAAGAGAACAGAUGUCAUAUGUCUAGCAUCAGCAAACUCAUCAGAACUGAUGGGCAGCUCACUUUGCUUAGAACCUGCACCAGCAUACACACGGGGCUGCUUCCCAGUCACACUGCUCCUGGGAAGGUAGGGGGGCUGCUGUUCUGCAAUUAGCGCGGUUCUUUACCUCCUAUUACCGAACUGCCAGAGUUCAUUUGUGUUCAGUUAGGUAGAUGACCAAUUCUUGUUCAUUCCUAUUUUCUUUUGCUCACUAAUGUGUUUAACGUUCACUAACCUACCAAAUGUGAUUUAUUAGCGACUUUUUCUUUGAAGAUGGAGUGGAGGAAUCCUAGCGCUUUCUGCAACAUGCUACUGCUGUUAUGGAACAGUGCAGAUAUGGAAGUGCAUCAGCCGGGGAUGGGGAGAGGCUAGGGCAGUACAUGUGAAUGGAGAGGUAGCCCCACCAGUGUGUUUUCUGAAAUACAGUCCCGCAGAGGGCAGUCUUGGGAAAUUACUGUUCUCACACACUCUUCUUGACCCUACCCCUCCAGCACCUCCCUUGCUAUCCAAGGGUUGGGAUUUUUAAAAAGAAAAACAAAUUUUAAAAAAAGCAGUGUGAAUCUUUUGCCAUCUUGUAAGGGUGAAAAGCCCCCUACCAAGUCGGGAUGAACAUUCAUGCGUGUGCUUGAGGGCUUGGGAAAAAGACAGGGCUUGGCCCCACAGUGCAGGUAGGCCCAGUGAUCCUAUAAUAGGGGCCAGGAGAUGGGAGGUCCCCUGUGGGCAGGAGUUCAAGUAUGUGGUAUUAUAUGACUGGUGCUUGAUGAACCCAGGGAGAGGGCACCAAAAACAAUGGUAUUUAAUUGUAAAAUCUCCACCCCCUGAGGAUAUGUUUUCAGGUCUGGGUGACUAAUUAGACUGGGAAACAAGGGCAGGAACGAUGGCCCUGUGCUUGCUCUGCCCGCUGCCUCUGUGGAUGUGUGGGCUGCUGGCUUCAGUCCUGCUUUUCUUUCUGAUGGUAUUGUUUAUGCUAUGUGUUUUUGCAGGAGGCCUGAGGUGGGCUGGGUUCUCCUCCUAUGGCAGGGCUUCACUCUCCUCCUCCUUCUCUGUUGGGGCUUCACUGUCCCUGGGAUAAGAAUAACAAUGCCAAGGUUUUCAUUCUUGAAAGGAGCAAUUAAGCGUCUCACCCCCUCCUCAUUUUAGAUGGGAACUGUGAGGGUCCCGUCAUUUACCCAGGGUCCCUGUUGAGGAUCUUGUCCUCAUUAGAUGACUUCUUGUGCAGCUUCCAUGCGUGAUUCUUUACUCUUGUGGCACUGAGAGGUUUGUACAUGUCUUUAAGCCAGAGCGGCUUUCUGAAUGAAAAAAGUCCAUCCUAGAAGAUAGAAAGGGAAAUAUUAAUUUUGCAUGUCCUCUGCUUUCCCUGGUCACAGCAAUGAAUCCUCCAAUGUACCUGACUCUCCCUUUGCGAAGAGCAUCUCCGUGGCAGAAAUCUGAAAAUGCCCCUGGGGAGACACAUGCACAAGACAGUUCGUGAGCCACACAUCUCCCCACACCAAGCUCCUCCAUACAAGACCUCGGACUGCAUCACGUAAAUGCUUUUUCAGGGGCAAAAUCUAGAGAAUCUGAAACGAGCUAUCAGCUUCCCAGUUUGCACAAUUCAUCAAGAAAUUAUGCGGGGUCACUGGCACAAAUGAUGAGGCAUCUCCUGGAAGCUUAACUUCUUAUCCAUCCCAUCUCUUGGACAGAUGAUGCCAGUUAAUUACUUUGAAUGCUGGUCUCGAACUCCUG
RNAcentral lists this long non-coding RNA (3315 nucleotides) under Homo sapiens (human). RNAcentral describes it as "HSALNT0390234". Lineage: Eukaryota; Metazoa; Chordata; Mammalia; Primates; Hominidae. The record is from RNAcentral.